This 224-nucleotide ribosomal RNA is filed under the name uncultured bacterium. Its description in RNAcentral is "partial 16S ribosomal RNA". It matches the Rfam family "Bacterial small subunit ribosomal RNA", at positions 111 to 334 of the family's 1533-position model. The record is from RNAcentral.
UAACGCGUGGAUAACCUGCCUCACACAGGGGAGUAACAGUUAGAAAUGACUGCUAAUACCGCAUAAGCGCACGGUACCGCAUGGUACAGUGUGAAAAACUACCGGUGGUGUGAGAUGGAUCCGCGUCUGAUUAGGUAGUUGGUGAGGUGACGGCCCACCAAGCCGACGAUCAGUAGCCGACCUGAGAGGGUGACCGGCCACAUUGGGACUGAGACACGGCCCAA